UACGGAGGGUGCAAGCAUUAAUCGGAUUUACUGGGCGUAAAGGGCGCGUAGGCGGAAGUAAAAGUCAGGUGUGAAAUUUCGGUGCUCAACACCGAAGCUGCACUUGAAACUAUACAUCUAGAGGAUGGACGGAGAAAACGGAAUUCCACGUGUAGCGGUGAAAUGCGUAGAUAUGUGGAAGAACACCUGUGGCGAAAGCGGUUUUCUAGUUUAUUCCUGACGCUGAGGCGCGAGAGCAGGGGUAGCAAACAGG
RNAcentral lists this unclassified non-coding RNA (253 nucleotides) under uncultured Chlamydiales bacterium. Its description in RNAcentral is "contains 16S-23S intergenic spacer region". It matches the Rfam family "Bacterial small subunit ribosomal RNA", at positions 524 to 776 of the family's 1533-position model. The record is from RNAcentral. Lineage: Bacteria; Pseudomonadati; Chlamydiota; Chlamydiia; Chlamydiales.